Molecule: long non-coding RNA, 3886 nt
Filed under: Lactuca sativa (garden lettuce)
Lineage: Eukaryota; Viridiplantae; Streptophyta; Magnoliopsida; Asterales; Asteraceae
Description: long non-coding RNA (LSAT_LNC003568)
Source: RNAcentral
UUAAUACAACAUAUUUUACAAUAAUUCUAAAAUUCAGAGAAGUGAAACAAAAACUCUAUAACCACCAUAGCCACCACAUACCGCCUCCAACCACCUGUGUCAUCGUCACAACAAUUAUUAUUUCCAAAUGAGAUUUGUACAUAAAGUCAUGCAAUGACAUGUUAAAUGCUACAUUUAUAGUUUAAUAAACUGAUUAAUUGUCACAUUUUGAAUUUAAUACAAAAUAAUUAUAAAAACUAAUGUAUUCUUACAUAUUUAUACAACAAAAAAAUAAAUAUAUUCACAAUAAGUUAAUACAAAAAUUCUUACAUAAAUCAUUCAUAUUUUAAUACAAAAAUUAUAAAAAAAAGUCACAGCAACAUGUAGCCAAUUCACAACUUAAUAUAGUCAACUACCGAUUAAUAUGUAAAAUUUAAAGCUUAAUAUGAUAAAUUAAUAAUUUAAUACACAAAAAUGUCAUAUUCUUAACUUAAAACUUAUAUUUAUACCUUUAGAUUGUUUUUUCAAAGUUUAAUUUACACAAUAUUUACAACUUAAAUUUAAUAUAAUUUAGUCAAAAUCAAAGAAAAUCAUAUAUGUGUAUAAUGAUUCUUUCUUCUCAUAAUUCAAACGCAAGAACAAAAUUCAUAAAAAGUUCACAACUUAAUACAGUCAAUGCACAGUUUAAUACAAUUACUUGAAUGUUUAAUAAAUAAAUAUCGCAGGUUAAUAUAAUAAUUCACAGUUUAAUACACGAAAAAUAUAUACGGACAACCAUAUUUUUUAACUUAGAACUAACAUUUAUACGUUCAUAUAAAUGUUAGUUUAUUAUACUAAGCCACAAAUGAGUUUACUAUUAAAUUGUGAAUUUAUUAUACUAAGCCGCAAAUGAAUUUAUAGCCUAAUACAACAAAUUCACAAUUUAAUACAAUAAAUUCACAAUUUAUUUAGAAUUAUAAUCUCAUAUUCUAGUGUAUAAACAACUCAUUUAUAGUUUAAUACAUACAUAUAUUAUCUCAUACUUUAGAAGAAAACAUCAAAAAAAUAUAUAUAUACAUGAAUCAUAAAAGAUGACAACUUAUCUGAAAUCCACGAAAAAGAUGAGUUUGAAAAGAAUAUAUCAUUACUCUACCACCACCACUUGCAUAAACACUGUCAACUACCAUACGUUGCCAUCAACGAUCGCCCUCCGCCAAGCAUUAAUGACAACACUGCCAACAUCCUUCUCUAAAAACCAAAUACGGAUAAAUAAAUAAAAAAUCAAAAUUUACAGUUUAAUUCAACAUUUCAAACAGUAACUCACAACUUAAUUCAAUAUUUCAAACAAAAAUUCACAACUUAGCGCAUAAAAAAUACACAUUCACAGCUUAAUAACUUACAUAUUAAAAAAUUAAUAAAAAAACACAUAUACACAGUUUGAUACACUACAUUCAUAACUCAUUUAUAGGUAUAAAAUUCAAAUCUGGAUAGAAAUAUCAGAAUUCAUAGUUUAAUACAACAUUUCAAACACUAAUUCACGGCUUAAUUCAAUAAUGCAAACACUAAUUCACAACUUGGUGCAUAAAGAUGCAUGUUCACAACUUAAUAAUUUAUAUAUUCACAAAUUAAUACAUAAAAAAACAUAUAUUCAGAGCUUAAUUACUAUUUUUUUUUUAAAUCAAAAAUUAAAAUAAUAUCCACAGCUUAAAACAUUAUUUCCAAUUUAAAACAUAUAUUAACAAUUUAAUACGACCCACAACUUAAUACAAUUUAUUCAAAGUUUAAUACAAAAUCAUAUUUAUAUAUAAUUUUUAAUAUGACCCACAACUUAAUACAAUUAAAUAAAAUCAUAUUUAUAUAUAAUUUUUCUUUUAUCUUAUAUUUCAAAAGCAAACAAAAAAAAAUUAUAAAAUAAUCAUAGUUUACUACUAGUCAAUUCACAGUUUAAUAAAAAAAAUUCAUACCUUAAUAUAGGUAAUUCAUAUUUUAAAUAGAAAAUUCACAUCUUAAUGUAUUUGAUUCACAGUUUAAUACAUAAAAUUCACAUUUUAAUUUUCAAAAAUAUGCAUUCACAACUAUAUUACCAACUUAAAACUCUUACUACAAUUAAUUCACAAGUUCGUGUACAAAAUUUAAUAUAGUCAAUUUACAGUUUAAACAGAAAAUUCAAAGCUUAAUGCAUUAAAUUCACAGUUUAGACAAAAAAAAAAUCACAAGUUAAUAUACAAGAUUCACAGGUUAAUAAUAUAAAUCAGAAUUUAAUACAUAAAAAGUAUGUAUUCACAACUAAAUUCACAAUUUAACAAAAAAAAAUCACAUUAUUUGAAAAGAAACUAACAGAAUAACACAUAUUUUAAAUUAAUUUCACAGACUACAAAACAUAAAACAUAAACCUUGAAUAAUAUUUUUAUGCAAAUAUUAUAACAAAUUAAAAAGUAAACAUUAAUUCACAACUUAAUAACAGUUAAAAAUUAAAAUUAAGAUUAAAAAAAGCAAACAAAAAUAAGAUAUUAAAACAUUAAAUUUACAACUUAACAACAACAAAACGAUGGAAACAAAACUAUUUUUUCAUCACAUAUAUCAAAGGUGAAUCAAUAUUUUUGGAAUAAAGGGGCUUACACUAUAAUAUUAUUAUAUACUCAUAAAAAAUCAAACUCUUACUAAUUCAAAAUUUUAGGAUUUACUAAAUUGUUAAUGAAAAAUAAAUCAUGACACUUACAUAAACCUAAAAACAAAAUAUAAAUAAAUAAAUAAAUAAUAAGAAGCAAAAGCAACUAAAAAGUAAAUCAGAAGGCAUAUCGUAUAUAACAUUUAUAUAAUAAAAAAUAAUAAAGACUACAAUACUUUAAUAUUAUAGUUGAUACUUACUAGGGCUUAUGUUGCAGCAAAAGAAAAAAAUAAAUAUAUGAAGAUAAUGGACGAUGCAAAGUAACACUGACAAAAUUAAAAGGAAAGAGUCAAAAAGUAAAAUAUUACCUCUUUAAAAUCGAAGUUGUUUCUUUUCAGAUGACAAACAACAUUGAAACGCCUCCCUCUCUUGCACAAGGAAGGUUUGAAGUUGCUUCUUCUCCGGCAACUGGUUAGUGGCGAGUGUCCAUUAACCAGAUAAUAAGGGAGGAAAGCUUGCUCCGGUAACAAAGCGUCGGAAGACGAUUGGCGAUGUCGCGAUGGUAGGUCUAAGAUAGUUUUUGGAUUUUUACAGUUUCAAUUAUUGAUUAUACACGACAAAAUUGAUGUUCAUUAACCUUCGAUUUCAACAAUAUAUGAAAGGCGCUAGUGGUAGAGUGGCAGCGGAUGUGGUGGUCGUAGAUGAAUACGGCGGACAGAGGCGAUCAAAGAUGAAAUAGAUAUGGAAGGAGGCGAUUGUUGUGGUUCAUUAUCGUUUGCCUAGCUUGUAGAUCUCGACUUUCAGCUUGUCGUCGCUCGUAGAUAUGGCAUCGCUGCUCAUUGGAGUUCCAAAAUCUAGCCUCGCCUAUCAUCGGUGGUGUUGUGGUCGUCAGUGAUAUUGCGAUCGUCGUCAGUAGUGGCUGUUAAUGAAAAAUUAUAGAUCUUGAUAUAGAGGACGAUGAUGUUAGUGGCGGAUCUCGUCGAUCUACUGAGCUGGAAUACGCCGACUUGGAUUCCGGUGAGCUAGUGGUGGGGGGGGCAUCGACGACGAUAACGACUGCAGAUGGUUGUUGGUGGUAGAAGGAAAAAGGAAAGUGAGAGGUUGAUGAUUUUGAGAAUGACAGGACAUGAAUCAAAUCUAGUUUUUAGAUUUGGAUUUUAAGAUCUGAUUUAUUUAUUUGUGAAAUUAGACUAAAAUUUGUUGUUGUUUACAAUUCUAUCAUUUUUUUUUUAGUAAUUGUUAGGUAAAAUAGAUAGUUCUUAGGUUUUUAAUUUUAUUUGGUUCUCAUUUUAUCUUUUACUUUUAUAUAUAUAUAUAUAU